GAUUGUGGUUGGCUUUAUUGGUUGCGGAGAAAUCGCUCAAACAAUUAUUAAGGGAAUUUUGAGGAGCGGUUUAUUACCUGCCGAGAGACUCAAGGCGUCAACAUCUUCUCCUCAAACAAGUAGCAAAGCAACUAACCUUGGUAUUACGUACGCUUCUAAUAAUGAAAUCAAAUCGAGUUGCAAUGUGAUAGUUCUUUGUGUCCGUCCAUUUGAAAUACUGAACGUAUUGGACGGCAUUUCCCAGACUGCUGUGGUAAUCUCGACUGCAGCAGGAAUAACAAUUGAAGCAAUG
Octopus sinensis (East Asian common octopus) is the source of this 292-nucleotide long non-coding RNA. RefSeq lists it as uncharacterized. The record is from RefSeq and is a predicted model, not a curated record. NCBI's taxonomy places the organism in Eukaryota, Metazoa, Mollusca, Cephalopoda, Octopoda, Octopodidae. The transcript is spliced from 3 exons.